This 501-nucleotide ribosomal RNA is filed under the name uncultured bacterium. RNAcentral's name for it is "partial 16S ribosomal RNA". It matches the Rfam family "Bacterial small subunit ribosomal RNA", at positions 30 to 523 of the family's 1533-position model. The record is from RNAcentral.
AUUGAACGCUGGCGGCAUGCCUUACACAUGCAAGUCGAACGGCAGCGGGGACUUCGGUCCGCCGGCGAGUGGCGAACGGGUGAGUAAUGUAUCGGAACGUACCAUUGAGUGGGGGAUAACGUAGCGAAAGUUACGCUAAUACCGCAUAUUCUCUCCGGAGGAAAGCAGGGGACCGCAAGGCCUUGCGCUCUUUGAGCGGCCGAUAUCAGAUUAGCUAGUUGGUGAGGUAAAAGCUCACCAAGGCGACGAUCUGUAGCGGGUCUGAGAGGAUGAUCCGCCAGACUGGGACUGAGACACGGCCCAGACUCCUACGGGAGGCAGCAGUGGGGAAUAUUGGACAAUGGGGGGAACCCUGAUCCAGCCAUGCCGCGUGUGUGAAGAAGGCCUUAUGGUUGUAAAGCACUUUAAGCGAGGAGGAGGCUCUUUUGGUUAAUACCCAAGAUGAGUGGACGUUACUCGCAGAAUAAGCACCGGCUAACUCUGUGCCAGCAGCCGCCGUAA